GCCAUGAUCGUAUAGUGGUUAGUACUCUGCGUUGUGGCUGCAGCAAUCUUGGUUCAAAUCUGAGUCAUGGCA
This 72-nucleotide transfer RNA is filed under the name Alligator mississippiensis (American alligator). It matches the Rfam family "tRNA". Rfam says of the family: Transfer RNA (tRNA) molecules are approximately 80 nucleotides in length. Their secondary structure includes four short double-helical elements and three loops (D, anti-codon, and T loops). Lineage: Eukaryota; Metazoa; Chordata; Crocodylia; Alligatoridae. The record is from Rfam by way of RNAcentral.